AUGAACGCUGGCAGCGUGCCUAAUACAUGCAAGUCGAGCGAACAGACGAGGAGCUUGCUCCUCUGACGUUAGCGGCGGACGGGUGAGUAACACGUGGAUAACCUACCUAUAAGACUGGGAUAACUUCGGGAAACCGGAGCUAAUACCGGAUAAUAUAUUGAACCGCAUGGUUCAAUAGUGAAAGACGGUUUUGCUGUCACUUAUAGAUGGAUCCGCGCCGCAUUAGCUAGUUGGUAAGGUAACGGCUUACCAAGGCGACGAUGCGUAGCCGACCUGAGAGGGUGAUCGGCCACACUGGAACUGAGACACGGUCCAGACUCCUACGGGAGGCAGCAGUAGGGAAUCUUCCGCAAUGGGCGAAAGCCUGACGGAGUAACGCCGCGUGAGUGAUGAAGGUCUUCGGAUCGUAAAACUCUGUUAUUAGGGAAGAACAAAUGUGUAAGUAACUAUGCACGUCUUGACGGUACCUAAUCAGAAAGCCACGGCUAACUACGUG
This 496-nucleotide ribosomal RNA is filed under the name uncultured bacterium. RNAcentral's name for it is "partial 16S ribosomal RNA". It matches the Rfam family "Bacterial small subunit ribosomal RNA", at positions 29 to 507 of the family's 1533-position model. The record is from RNAcentral.